This 419-nucleotide ribosomal RNA is filed under the name Pseudocrangonyx sp. 2 SY-2020. RNAcentral describes it as "partial 16S ribosomal RNA". Lineage: Eukaryota; Metazoa; Arthropoda; Malacostraca; Amphipoda; Pseudocrangonyctidae. The record is from RNAcentral.
GUAGCAGAAUAGUUUGUUCUUUAAUUGGGAGUUGGUAUGAAGGGUUAUACAAAAAAUAUCUUUUCGGUUGAAUAGAGUAAAUUAAAUUUUAAGUUAAAAUGCUUGAGUGUGAUAAAGGGACGAUAAGACCCUAGAAGCUUUAAUUAUUUAUAAAAUUAAUUUAAGUUUAUUGUAAAGAGUAUUUUUUAGUAAUAUUAGCUGGGGAAGUGGUUUUAAAUAUAUUAAAAUUUUAUAUUACUUAUUUUAAGGAUAAGGGUCUUUUAUAUAAAGAAAAAUAGUAUUAGUUACUCUAGGGAUAACAGCGCAAUAAUUUUGAAGAGUUCAUAUCUAUAAUAUUAUGUGCGACCUCGAUGUUGAAUUAAGAUUGUCUUAAAGGGGUAGAAGACUUAUAAGAGGGUUUGUUCAACCUUUAAAUUUUU